AGCAGGUGAAACAAAUAGGUCAGGAACAUGCAGAAAUAAGUUAUUGCUGUAGUCAAGGCAAGGCAAGAGGAUGGGUGGCGAUUAAGUACAGGAGGGAAGUGGGGAACUUUUAGAGAUAUUUAGGAGGUAACUUUGGCAGGCUAAGAGAUGUAUCAUUCUAGGAGAGAGGGAGAAAAGAGACUCUAGAAGGCUCCAGAGUUUUGGCUUAGGAAAAUCAGGUGUGCUGUCGCUAGAGGACUUCCAUUAAAAGGAAGCCAGCGAUUCCAGCCUGCUUCCAGCUCUGGGUUGGAACAAGGCUUCCUUUGAUAUCUCCUUAUGUCUCUGCCACACGCAGGAACGGCAGCCAAUGCACCUGCUCCAAGUGGACAUAGCGGUUAAGGCUGAGCACGGUGCCGAUCACUGGAAGGGGCAUCUGAAAGUCAAUUGCCUUUGUAAGCUUGCCCUACCCUUGGUGUGUAUUCUCUUUUCCAGAAAUUUCUCUAGAAGCCUGUGUCUUUCCGUUUAUCUAUAACGAUGUCGUCUACUACAAUUGCAUCUCAGUCCACAGUGACUUUGACUGGUGUUCUCUUGACAAAAUAUUCCAAGGCAGGUGGCGCUACUGCAGGGCAAGCGAUCCCCCCCAGUGUGUCUUUCCCUUCUCAUUCAGAGACAAACUCAUUGACCAUUGCACCAAGGAAGGCUUUAUUUUGAAUCGGAGUUGGUGUUCAUUGACCAAAGAUUACAACAAAGACAAGAAAUGGAAGACGUGCUCUCCUCUCAAUUCUUAGAUAAGUCUUGGUGUUCCCGAAGAGACGGAAGUUACAGAUCCAUCGUCUGCCUGUCAGAACAGAAUUCUAUCCUUUCCCAUCCUGAACAUUGUGAUCAAUAAAGACUUGGUCUCCUUGCCGUGUGGACGGCUCCUUCCCUUGAAAGGAAGGCACAGCCAGCGCUCAGUGGGGACCAGCACAGCGCUGACCAUGUAGGAACCCAGCAGUGGCCCGACCCGCGGGACCUUUUGUUACUCGCGGGGGUCAAGGGGGACCAUGCCUGAAAGAGAUGGGCGAGAGAA
This is a non-coding RNA of Microcebus murinus (gray mouse lemur), 1048 nucleotides long. Lineage: Eukaryota; Metazoa; Chordata; Mammalia; Primates; Cheirogaleidae. The record is from RefSeq and is a predicted model, not a curated record.